RNAcentral lists this ribosomal RNA (558 nucleotides) under uncultured fungus. RNAcentral describes it as "eukaryotic LSU rRNA". The stretch from base 180 to 333 matches the Rfam family "5.8S ribosomal RNA". The record is from RNAcentral. Lineage: Eukaryota; Fungi.
UUCUCNUCUCUCCACCUGUGCACCUCUUGUAGACUUGGGAUAGAAUUCUCCGCAGGCAACUCGGUCUGGAGGAAUGCUGCCCAAAGCUUUCUUUGUAUUUCCUGGUCUACGUUUUUCAUAUACCCCUUAGCAUGUAACAGAAUGUAUCAUUUGGGCCCUUGUGCCUAUAAACCUUAUACAACUUUCAGCAACGGAUCUCUUGGCUCUCGCAUCGAUGAAGAACGCAGCGAAAUGCGAUAAGUAAUGUGAAUUGCAGAAUUCAGUGAAUCAUCGAAUCUUUGAACGCACCUUGCGCUCCUUGGUAUUCCGAGGAGCAUGCCUGUUUGAGUGUCAUUAAAUUCUCAACCUUAUCAGUUUAUUUCUGAUAGUGGCUUGGAUGUGGGGGUUUUCUUGCUGGCUGAGGUCAGCUCCCCUUAAAUGCAUUAGCUGGUGCCCCGUGUGGACUGUCUAUUGGUGUGAUAAUUAUCUACGCCAUGGAUAGCACUGCUUCUAACCGUCUGUUAAUUCGGACAAUACAUGACAAUUUGACCUCAAAUCAGGUAGGACUACCCGCUGAAC